UAGGGAAUAUUGCACAAUGGGCGAAAGCCUGAUGCAGCAACGCCGCGUGUGCGAUGAAGGCCUUCGGGUCGUAAAGCACUUUUAUGAGAGAUGAGUAAGGACAGUAUCUCAGGAAUAAGUCUCGGCUAACUACGUGCCAGCAGCCGCGGUAAAACGUAGGAGGCGAGCGUUAUCCGGAUUCACUGGGCGUAAAGCGCGUGCAGGCGGUUCGGUAAGUUGGGCGUGAAAUCUCCUGGCUUAACUAGGAGAGGUCGUUCAAUACUACCGGACUUGAGAAUGAUAGAGGAAGAUGGAAUUCCCGGUGUAGUGGUGAAAUGCGUAGAUAUCGGGAGGAACACCAGUGGCGAAAGCGAUCUUCUGGAUCAUUUCUGACGCUCAGACGCGAAAGCUAGGGUAGUAAA
Molecule: ribosomal RNA, 401 nt
Filed under: uncultured bacterium
Lineage: Bacteria
Description: bacterial SSU rRNA
Rfam family: Bacterial small subunit ribosomal RNA
Source: RNAcentral